GCUGAAAAUCUAGCUCUAAUUUACCAAAUGAAUUCGCACCCUUAAUUUCUCAAUUAAAGCAUUUUAACAAUUUAGUAAAGGCGAUUAAAAAAUUAAUUAAAGCUAUACUAUUAGUACCGCAAGGGAAAGAUGAAAUAGAAGUGAAACAAAUUUUAAGCACAAAACAGCAAAGAUUUAUCCUUGUACCUUUUGCAUCAUGGUUUAACUAGUCUAAUCAAGCAAAAAGACUUAAAGUUUGACCCCCCGAAACUAAGCGAGCUACUUUAGGGCAGCUUAAUGAGCAAACCCGUCUCUGUUGCAAAAGAGUGGGAAGACCCUUAAGUAGAAGUGACAGACCUACCGAGCUUAGUGAUAGCUGGUUGCUCAAGAAAAGAAUCUAAGUUCAACCUAAAAUUAAAUUACUAUCAACAAAAUACAACAUUAAUUUUAGAAUAAGUCAAAUAAGGUACAGCCUAUUUGAAACAGGAUACAACCUAAACCAACGGGUAAUCAAUAAUAUUAUAUCACAACCAAGUAGGCCUAAAAGCAGCCAUCUUUAAAAUAGCGUCACAGCUUUAUUAUGCUAACAUCUAAUCUCACCAUAUUUAUACAACCCUUCACCAACAUCGAGCAAUUCUAUAUCUUUAUAGAAAUUUUUAUGUUAAAACUAGUAACAAGAAGAUGAACUUCUCCUUAAUGCAAGUGUAAAUCAGUUAGGACCACCCGCUGAUAAUUAACACUAUUAAACCCACAGUAGUAACAAAACAAGAAAACUCUACUUUUUUAUACGUUAAUCUAACACAAGUGCAUUACAAGAAAGAUUUAAAGAAAAAGAAGGAACUCGGCAAAAAUCAACCUCGCCUGUUUACCAAAAACAUCGCCUNNNNNNNNNNNNNNNNNNNAGGUCCAGCCUGCCCAGUGACUCUGUUCAACGGCCGCGGUAUCCUAACCGUGCGAAGGUAGCGUAAUCACUUGUUCUUUAAAUGAGGACUAGUAUGAAUGGCACCACGAGGGUUAUACUGUCUCCUCUUUCUAAUCAGUGAAACUAAUCUCCCCGUGAAGAAGCGGGGAUUAACCUAUAAGACGAGAAGACCCUAUGGAGCUUUAAACUUAAAACAUUCGCCAAAACAAUCUUAACUCCAGAAGAAUAAACCCAUUCAGCAUUACUGAUUUUUAAGUUUUCGGUUGGGGUGACCACGGAGCAAAAUUUAACCUCCGCACUGAAAGGACCUUAAACCUUAGCCAAGAGCCACGACUCUAUGCAUCAAUAAUUUGACACCAAUUGACCCAAUAUAUUGAACAAUGAACCAAGUUACCCUAGGGAUAACAGCGCAAUCUACUUCAAGAGCCCCUAUCGACAAGUGGGUUUACGACCUCGAUGUUGGAUCAGGGUAUCCCAGUGGUGCAGCCGCUACUAAAGGUUCGUUUGUUCAACGAUUAAAACCCU
This 1426-nucleotide ribosomal RNA is filed under the name Paratelmatobius poecilogaster (San Andre rapids frog). RNAcentral describes it as "partial 16S ribosomal RNA". It matches the Rfam family "Bacterial large subunit ribosomal RNA", at positions 385 to 2597 of the family's 2925-position model. The record is from RNAcentral. Lineage: Eukaryota; Metazoa; Chordata; Amphibia; Anura; Leptodactylidae.